AGUGAUCUGCCUGCCCUGGCCUCACAAAGUGCUCGGAUUACAGGUGUGAGCCACCACGGCUGGCCUAGUUCAAUGUUAAACAAACUUUACUCAGCAAAACAUGUUUCAUGAGAUGUUCAUGAGAGGGUCUGUGGCAUGUGUGGAUGUGAGUGUGUGGUUUUUAGUGAUCAAAUGAAUUUGGGAAAUGCUUUAUACUUUUCCCUCUUGAUGAGUUAUAAUGUGUAUAUUUUAAUAUUAAAGGCUCUGACAAGUCCUGUAGCAGAGAAUUCUGUUUAACCAAGUGUGUCAACUUGAGUCCUCUGGGAAGCAAAUGCCAAAACGAAGUUAGACAUGCAAGAGACUUAUUGGGGACUCCUACAGGACAACCAGGGACAAUCAUCUUCACAGGAACCUAUCCUCCCUGCUGGGUGGAAAGAGCAUCGACCUGAGUCCAAUCAGCUACUUACAGGUCAACUAAGAAGAGGACUGAGAGUUAACCAUUGGAUUGAGCAACAUCAAGACCACCUGGAUAUUGGCCAAUGGUUUUACCCUGACCAUCUGCCCAGAGGGAUGGUAAGAGAGAAAGGCAGGACAGAAAUGAAAGGACAGUGAGAAUACACACCACUUUCAUGAAAUUUUGUUGUGAAAAGAAAGGAAGAGGCCCGGCAUGGUGGCUCACAUCUGUAAUCCCAG
RNAcentral lists this long non-coding RNA (672 nucleotides) under Homo sapiens (human). Its description in RNAcentral is "HSALNT0298553". Lineage: Eukaryota; Metazoa; Chordata; Mammalia; Primates; Hominidae. The record is from RNAcentral.